This 159-nucleotide ribosomal RNA is filed under the name Blautia wexlerae. Its description in RNAcentral is "partial 23S ribosomal RNA". It matches the Rfam family "Bacterial large subunit ribosomal RNA", at positions 2766 to 2925 of the family's 2925-position model. The record is from RNAcentral. Lineage: Bacteria; Bacillati; Bacillota; Clostridia; Lachnospirales; Lachnospiraceae.
AAACGCUGAAGGCAUCUAAGCGUGAAGCCCCCCUUAAGAUGAGAUAUCCCAUUCGAAAGAAGUAAACCCCCUUGAAGACGACGAGGUAGAUAGGGCAGAGGUGGAAGUGUAGCAAUGCAUGGAGCUGACUGUUACUAAUCGGGUGAGGGCUUGACCAAG